CCCCAUUAACCACUCAUACAGGCUGGGCCCCAAAUGGCCCCCUAUGCCCUAUCUAGGGCUCUACCUUUGACCCGGGCCGUCUGGGGGGGACACUGUCACGCAUGACUUCCUAAAGUACACCGUGUGGGUGUAUAUAUACAUUAUGUUAACUAGUUUUAACUAGUGGUAGAAGCUGGGUAUAUAUACAUUAUGUUAACUAGUUUUAACUAGUGGUAGAAGCUGGGUGUAUAUACAUUAUAUUAACUAGUGGUAGAAGCUGGGUGUAUAUAUACAUUAUGUUAACUAGUUUUAACUAGUGGUAGAAGCUGGGUAUAUAUACAUUAUAUUAACUAGUGGUAGAAGCUGGGUGUAUAUAUACACAUUAUGUUAACUAGUUUUAACUAGUGGUAGAAGCUGGGUGUAUAUAUGCAUUAUGUUAACUAGUUUUAACUAGUGGUAGAAGCUGGGUGUAUAUACAUUAUAUUAACUAGUUUUAACUAGUGGUAGAAGCUGGGUAUAUGUACAUUAUAUUAACUAGUGGUAGAAGCUGGGUAUAUAUAUGCAUUAUAUUAACUAGUUUUAACUAGUGGUAGAAGCUGGGUAUAUGUACAUUAUAUUAACUAGUUUUAACUAGUGGUAGAAGCUGGGUAUAUAUGUACAUUAUGUUAACUAGUUUUAACUAGUGGUAGAAGCUGGGUAAAUAUACAUUAUAUUAACUAGUGGUAGAAGCUGGGUAUAUAUACAUUAUGUUAACUAGUUUUAACUAGUGGUAGAAGCUGGGUGUAUAUAUACAUUAUAUUAACUAGUUUUAACUAGUUUUAGAAGCUGGGUAUAUAUACAUUAUAUUAACUAGUUUUAACUAGUGGUAGAAGCUGGGUAUAUAUACAUUAUGUUAACUAGUUUUAACUAGUUUUAGAAGCUGGGUAUAUACACAUGUUAACUAGUUUUAACUAGUGGUAGAAGCUGGGUGUAUAUAUACAUUAUGUUAACUAGUUUUAACUAGUUUUAGAAGCUGGGUAUAUACACAUGUUAACUAGUUUUAACUAGUGGUAGAAGCUGGGUGUAUAUAUACAUUAUGUUAACUAGUGGUAGAAGCUGGGUGUAUAUAUACAUUAUAUUAACUAGUUUUAACUAGUGGUAGAAGCUGGGUGUAUAUAUACAUUAUGUUAACUAGUUUUAACUAGUGGUAGAAGCUGGGUAUAUACACAUGUUAACUAGUUUUAACUAGUGGUAGAAGCUGGGUGUAUAUAUACAUUAUGUUAACUAGUUUUAACUAGUGGUAGAAGCUGGGUGUAUAUAUACAUUAUAUUAACUAGUGGUAGAAGCUGGGUGUAUAUAUACAUUAUGUUAACUAGUUUUAACUAGUGGUAGAAGCUGGGUAUAUAUACAUGAUGUUAACUAGUUUUAACUAGUGGUAGAAGCUGGGUAUAUAUACAUUAUAUUAACUAGUGGUAGAGGCUGGGUAUAUAUACAUGAUGUUAACUAGUUUUAACUAGUGGUAGAAGCUGGGUAUAUAUACAUGAUGUUAACUAGUUUUAACUAGUGGUAGAAGCUGGGUAUAUAUACAUUAUGUUAACUA
This is a non-coding RNA of Salmo salar (Atlantic salmon), 1558 nucleotides long. The record is from RefSeq and is a predicted model, not a curated record. Lineage: Eukaryota; Metazoa; Chordata; Actinopteri; Salmoniformes; Salmonidae.